This 421-nucleotide long non-coding RNA is filed under the name Elaeis guineensis (African oil palm). RNAcentral's name for it is "long non-coding RNA (EGUI_LNC065520)". Lineage: Eukaryota; Viridiplantae; Streptophyta; Magnoliopsida; Arecales; Arecaceae. The record is from RNAcentral.
GAUCUUAGACUCCCUUCAGGUCGACCUCCAUCACCUUCAUUGCCCUCCUGCAUCUCUCGGACCAGCCUAGGUUAGUUCUGAAAUCCUUCUUUUUCUUGUUGUUCUUUCAUUUUUCUUCCUCCACAUUCCACACGUUCAGUUUCUUCGCGCGCGUCUUGUUUCCUAUUUUUUCUAAUUUUUUUAAGAUUUUUAUUUGAUUCAAAAUAUCCUCUAACACUUCCUCCUCUAGCAGUUCUAGAAGUUCGUCUGCUCCAGCCUCCCAAAAUCCUGGUACUGUAGAUGAAUCCGCACUUAGGAUCGAACCUCGUUCGAUCUUUGCACCAGACACCAUUCCUAGCUCUUUGACCUCGGAUGAACUCUCGCUGAUUAGGAUUCAGUACGGGAUUCCUCUGGAGUAUGAGCUUGAGCUUCUCGGGCCAAC